GAUGAACGCUGGCGGCGUGCCUAAUACAUGCAAGUAGAACGCUGAAGGAGGAUCUUGCUCUUCUGGAUGAGUUGCGAACGGGUGAGUAACGCGUAGGUAACCUGCCUGGUAGCGGGGGAUAACUAUUGGAAACGAUAGCUAAUACCGCAUGACAACAGUUAUUGCAUGAUAACUGUUUAAAAGGGGCAACUGCUCCACUACCAGAUGGACCUGCGUUGUAUUAGCUAGUUGGUGAGGUAACGGCUCACCAAGGCGACGAUACAUAGCCGACCUGAGAGGGUGAUCGGCCACACUGGGACUGAGACACGGCCCAGACUCCUACGGGAGGCAGCAGUAGGGAAUCUUCGGCAAUGGACGGAAGUCUGACCGAGCAACGCCGCGUGAGUGAAGAAGGUUUUCGGAUCGUAAAGCUCUGUUGUAAGAGAAGAACGAGUGUGAGAGUGGAAAGUUCACACUGUGACGGUAGCUUACCAGAAAGGGACGGCUAACUACGUG
This 495-nucleotide ribosomal RNA is filed under the name uncultured bacterium. RNAcentral's name for it is "partial 16S ribosomal RNA". It matches the Rfam family "Bacterial small subunit ribosomal RNA", at positions 28 to 507 of the family's 1533-position model. The record is from RNAcentral.